UACGUGGGGUGCAAGCGUUGUUCGGAAUUACUGGGCGUAAAGCGCGUGUAGGCGGCCAGGUGUGUCAUAUGUGAAAUCCCUUGGCUUAACCAAGGAACUGCGUGUGAAACUGCCUGGCUAGAGUUUGGGAGAGGAGGGUGGAAUUUCCAGUGUAGAGGUGAAAUUCGUAGAUAUUGGGAGGAACACCGGUGGUGAAAGCGACUCUCUAGACCAAAACUGACGCUGAGACGCGAAAGCAUGGGUAGCAAACAGG
RNAcentral lists this ribosomal RNA (253 nucleotides) under uncultured bacterium. RNAcentral describes it as "partial 16S ribosomal RNA". It matches the Rfam family "Bacterial small subunit ribosomal RNA", at positions 524 to 776 of the family's 1533-position model. The record is from RNAcentral.